GGCUUGCUGGUCUAGUGGUAUGAUUCUCGCUUUGGGUGCGAGAAGUCACGGGUUCGAUUCCCGUGCAAGCCC
Molecule: transfer RNA, 72 nt
Filed under: Paramuricea clavata
Lineage: Eukaryota; Metazoa; Cnidaria; Anthozoa; Malacalcyonacea; Plexauridae
Rfam family: tRNA
About the family: Transfer RNA (tRNA) molecules are approximately 80 nucleotides in length. Their secondary structure includes four short double-helical elements and three loops (D, anti-codon, and T loops).
Source: Rfam by way of RNAcentral